UCUAAUAGAAAUUUUUUUUGGCCUAAGCAGUAAAAUGACUUAUAUCAUUAAAACUUAAGAAUUGUGGCGGCAGCUUAAACACUCAGGGGAACUUACCAUGUAAUUGAUAACCAACAAGAGGUCCUCACCUGCUCUCAUAAUUAGUAUACCGCCGUCUUUAAAUUCUCUUAAGGGGAGCUUAAAAAACAUACCAUUUAAAAGACAGGUCAUGGUGCUGUAAAUGACCAGGAAUAUAAGGUGAGUUACAAUACCCAAAACUAGUACAGAUUAUAAUCUUAAAAUCUUUUAUGAAGAAGGACUUGAUUGUAAGGCCUAUUCUUCUCUUACUAUAGCUACUAACAUAAACAAUUAAGGCUUGAAAAAGAAUUAGGCUGUGC
RNAcentral lists this ribosomal RNA (377 nucleotides) under Rumina decollata. RNAcentral's name for it is "partial 12S ribosomal RNA". Lineage: Eukaryota; Metazoa; Mollusca; Gastropoda; Stylommatophora; Subulinidae. The record is from RNAcentral.